UACAGAGGGUGCGAGCGUUAAUCGGAAUUACUGGGCGUAAAGCGCACGUAGUCGGCUUUGCAAGUCGGUUGUGAAAUCCCCGGGCUCAACCUGGGAACUGCAUUUGUGACUGCACGGCUAGAGUGCGGCAGAGGGAGAUGGAAUUCCGCGUGUAGCAGUGAAAUGCGUAGAUAUGCGGAGGAACACCGAUGGCGAAGGCAAUCUCCUGGGCCUGCACUGACGCUCAUGCACGAAAGCGUGGGGAGCAAACAGG
RNAcentral lists this ribosomal RNA (253 nucleotides) under uncultured bacterium. RNAcentral's name for it is "partial 16S ribosomal RNA". It matches the Rfam family "Bacterial small subunit ribosomal RNA", at positions 524 to 776 of the family's 1533-position model. The record is from RNAcentral.